Molecule: long non-coding RNA, 1919 nt
Filed under: Gallus gallus (chicken)
Lineage: Eukaryota; Metazoa; Chordata; Aves; Galliformes; Phasianidae
Description: lncRNA (ENSGALG00010024372.1)
Source: RNAcentral
UUUCUUUCUAUGUUUCUGGCAUGGAACAGUGACAGAAGUUAUUUCCAUUCUAUGGCCAAGGACAGAGCUCUGCACCAGCUGAACCACGGGCCUGAUCCAGUACUACAGUUGCUUUUCCACUCCCAUGGCAAUAAUUUCCCCAUGAUAUUGAGCACAGUCCUCAUGGUGUAUUGACACCACUAUAGGAAUAUGUGGAUGGAGGUUUCCUAUGUUGUACCAGAUGAAAGAUGGGAGCACAGGGAGGUGUUUCUCAUUAAAUGGAGCUGCCCUUAAUUUUUUUUUCUAAUAACCAAGAAAGAAGGUAUCAUUUUACUGUACUUGGCUCCACAGAAGCAGAACAAAUACACGAAAACCAACAGAAGCUUUAGUUUUACUACUUAGGAUGUGUAUGGGAGCUGUUGAAUCACAGCCUGAACCACUGAUUGAUCACCUGAGGCAAGCACUGAGUCAGCCAUGGGAGCACAGGUGAAGGCAAUUCACCUGUGUGACGAGAAGGGGUGGAGCCUGGCUGCACCUCUCCUAGACCCCAUUUAAGGGCUGACUGCCGCUGGUGAAGGAUAUCUUUUUGGAGCUUGCUCCCUUUGGAGUUUUUCUGUGAGCCUCUGAUAUGGGGAUCAGAAUUCUAUCCCAUACGAUGAAAUGUGACUGGAGUUGACUGUAUUUACUGUGGAAAAAGUAAAAUCAUUUUAGAAAUGCAUUUAAGUGAAGAUGUUAUCUCCUUUGGCAUGUCUGCAUCACACACACAGGGGUGUGUAAGGUUCUAGGUGUACUGGAAGCAUCACUGUGCUUUGUUGAAGAGAAGAAAAAAGACUGGGGAGAAGGGAUUCCAUCGUCUCUUGAAGUUCAUAUUUGGUAGAGUUCUCCCUAGCAGAAGGCCUGUACAGUGCCUAGAUAACACAUGGAGUCAAAACAGGAAGAGAGGGAGGCAGAGCAGUACAUGAAUGUCGCUUAACCCCUAUGAAUCAGAAAGUAAAAGUAUUUUGUGAAUUUGAACUUAUUCUGAGUGUGAGUGUCUUGGAACAGUGUCAAAUAACUCUCUUUUUCAGGCAGCAAUUGUUAGUGUUGUCAGUGCCCUGCAGUAUCUUGUCUGUAAGCUUUUCUGAUCUAUUUGUGUGACUAUAGACCAGUUGGACUAAGAUUCUGUCCUUUGAGCUGGGAUCUGUCUACUUCAGCACUUCUCUUUAAAUCAGGAGCAGGCUUUGGAAGCCAAAUUCAUGGCCAUUUGUCCCUGUGGUGUUUUGGUUUACACGAUGAAGCAAGUCUCAGAAGACAAGUGAAAGUAAACUGUGUCCCAGAAGCACACCUAACAUGCUCCAGUGGGUGUGCAGUCCACGCUGGAGUUGGUUGGAAGUAAUUCACCCUAUUAUCAGCUGCUUGAGACAUAGCUUCUGUUCUGUUGACCUCUUUCUCUUGUACUGCACUAAUUGUUACUGGAGAUGAACAUACUGUCUGAUCACAAUCUUUUUAAUGUGUUCAUUCAAAUCUGUUCUUAUAUCUUCCUUCUGGAAUUAAUUACUGUUCAGUAACAAACUGAUUGGUGAGAAACAGGAUGAGGCAGAUGGUGGCCAGCCAGUAUGCUUUAGUAUGAUGCCCUUCUCACCCUCACAGUGACAGUAUUGUGGCUCACUCAUUAGGAGCGAUUUUCAGUGUAGUUAACUGUUCUGUUUCUGUUGACUCUUGAUAUAAAAGUACAUUGACAUCUAAUACCUGGAAAACAAGCGAAAAUGUGAUAGUGUGACAAGGAGGUCUGUGGCUUACAGAUCUUCCUGUCUAUCUAUGUUUGACUACAUCAGUACAUUUUCUAGAGGAGAUAAUUUUUUUGUCAAUGCCUUAAAGUACACUGCAUUUUUUUCUUCUUUUGUGUAGUGAAUUUUUGUGUUCUUUUUGGGAAGAGCAAAUAAAAAAGGUAUUGAAAAUGC